GCCGAGGGGGGCGGGGCGCGCGGGACGUGCUGCCGCGUCGUCACCAGCUGAAUGGGCGGCGGCGGAGCAUGUGUGUGCCGCUGAGGCUGCUGCUCGCCCGGGACGCCGAGAGUGCAUGCCUCUCCCGGGCCAGACCGUGAAGCCGGAGAGGACGUGGCGGCGGCGGAGGAGGGGAAGAGCAGCGGGAGACAGGCUGGGCAUACUUGUCGGGGGCUGAAGGGCCCCGGCUUGGCGGGGGUUAUGGCAUCGCUUGCGGACCGAAUGCGAGGCAACGGGCGCAUCGCCGCUGGGCUCCUGCUCAACCUCCUGGUGUCCAUCUGCAUCGUGUUCCUCAACAAAUGGAUCUAUGUGCACCACGGCUUUCCUAACAUGAGCCUGACCCUGGUGCACUUCGUGGUCACCUGGCUGGGCUUGUACAUCUGCCAGAAACUGGACAUCUUUGCCCCCAAAAGUCUCCCGCCUUCCAAACUCCUCCUCCUGGCCCUCAGCUUCUGCGGCUUCGUGGUCUUCACCAAUCUCUCUCUGCAGAACAACACCAUAGGCACCUAUCAGCUAGCCAAGGCCAUGACCACGCCGGUCAUCAUAGUCAUCCAGACCCUCUUCUACAAGAAAACCUUCUCUACCAAAAUACAGCUCACGCUGAUUCCUAUAACUUUAGGUGUAAUCCUAAAUUCUUAUUACGAUGUGAAGUUUAAUUUCCUUGGAAUGGUGUUUGCCGCUCUUGGUGUUUUAGUUACAUCCCUUUAUCAAGUGUGGGUAGGAGCCAAACAGCAUGAAUUGCAAGUGAACUCGAUGCAGCUGUUGUACUACCAGGCGCCCAUGUCCUCCGCCAUGUUGCUGGUCGCCGUGCCCUUCUUCGAGCCCGUGUUCGGGGAAGGAGGACUAUUUGGCCCCUGGUCCGUGUCGGCACUGCUUAUGGUGCUGCUCUCUGGAGUAAUUGCUUUCAUGGUGAACUUAUCGAUUUAUUGGAUCAUUGGGAACACAUCACCAGUCACGUAUCCUUUUCCUAGUAACUCACAAAUGCAUAGUCUUUUAUAUUUUCCCAAACUCUGUCACAAUUAUUUCCUUCUGGGAGUCUUGCAUUUACUAUUAUGUGGCCUAAACUGAGUAGCUAGACUGAUCUCCAGUCUUUUCUUGUAUCUUUCCACACCAGACUCUAUGGAAACUUAAAGAAAGGUGAGCUAGAGAAAUGGGUUAGUUUUCUGUCUCAUGCAGUCUUUUUUAUUUUCUUAUGCAGUAAGUGACCUUUUCCCUUACCAAAAUCAACAUAGAGUACCAAGCCUGGCACAUAGUGGAGUUAAAUAAAUACUUGUGGAGUAGAUAACGUAGUGGACGCUGGGGUUUUUAAUCACUUUUCAGUCCCUAUGGUAAUAAAGUACAGGUACAGCCAAUCCAAAAACAAAAGAUAACUUCAGACCGUUGACAUCUGACUUUUGAAUAUGUUUUUGUACUUAUUUGGAUAUGGGUGUGCCUGUUUUUCUCAGUAUUACCUCCAAUCAAGAAAUGAAAUCAGGCCUUAAAGGUCUGAAUCAUUUUUAACAUUUUGCUUGUCCUGCUGUUUCUCUUCUUGUUUCACUCUGUCUCCACUCUUAAGCAAAGUCAAAGAAGGAUUUCCCCAAAUCAGAGAGGUAGUUCAGUAACAUUAUAUCCAAGUGUGCUGAUUUAUUUAAAGGAGUGAACACUGAGAUGUCAGCAAAGUAAAAAAGCAGUCUAUUUGCCAACUAUCGAUAAAUACCAACAACAGUUAUAACAAGAAUAAUUUAAAAAACCCAACACUUAAUAAAUGUUUAAUUUCCACCAGGCACUGUUGGAAAGAAACACCUCAGGUGUAUGAGGCAUCACGCUCUCAAAGCAGCUCUGUGAGGUGAAUUUUGUCGUAUUUUGCAGAGGAGAAAGUGGAGGUGCAGAGAGGUCAAGUGACGCGCUUCCGGUCAUACAGCUGAGAAGUGUGGUGUCCAGAUUUGAACCCACGCAGUCUAGUCCCAGACCUCGUGCACCAUGCUGCCAAAUCAGGGCAUCCAGGGAUGUGCCCUAAGAACACUCGUUCGUUCAACAAAUAUUUACUGAACACCCCCUGCAAACCGUGCUGUGACUUAGUAUUUACGUGGUGAAUGUCUACUGUAUGUUGGGUGCUGGAGCAAGCAAAAAUCCUUGCUCUCCCAGGUUUCAGUGCUGGUGACGGAGACUAGAAGCAAGAAAAUUAAAGUAUACGUAGACAGUGUGAGAUAGUGUGAAGUGCCAGGGAGAAAAAGUAAAGCAGGAAAGAGGAGCUGAAGUGUCGGGGACCGGGCUGAAACUUCAGAGGGGGCAGUCAGGAAGGGGACUUCUGAGUGAAGACCGGGGGAAAUGGAAGUCGCCCCAUGCAGAUUGGAAUGAAGAGCGUUCGGGGCAGAGGGAGCCGCGGGGAGGCCCUGACGAGCAGCAAGGAGGCCUUGUGGUUGUGGUGGGGAGCGGACGGGGUGGAGAACAGCAAGGCUCUGAGCGGAACCGGCGCUGAGCAGAGCUUGUACUGAGUGAGAUGGGAAGCCGCGGACACCAGGAGCGGAGAAAGGACGUGAUUUUACCUGGGUUCUAAUGGGAUCAGUCUGGGCUGUGGGUUGAGCAGAGACCGAAGCAGGGUUUUCAGCCUGCGUGCUGUUGCCCUCGUGGGCUGGACAGGCCUUGUUUGCAGGGGGUGCCCUGCCCACUGUCGGGUGUUUCCCAGUGUCCCAGCCACUACCCGCUAGAUGCCGGUAGCGCCCCCUUCUGCCCAAUGAUGACGGCCAGAAAGGUGUCCAGACCUUUUUGGUGGCAGAAUCACCCCGGUUGAGAAGCACUGCACUGAAGGAGGCAAGAGGAGAAGGGACCCUGGAGAAAGGAUGGUGGUUUGGUACCAGGAUUGGAGUCUGGGUAUGUUUUCAAGUAGCACCAGCGGGUUUUACUGACAAAUCGGAUGUGAAGAAUAGGAGAGGAAACAGGUCGGCUCACGUGGUUUGGGGCCUGAGCGCCUGGUGUGCUGCCAUCAGCUGAACUAGGACAGCCUGAAGGAGGUUUGAGGGUGGGGAGUUGGGGGGAGAACCGGUCUGGGAGUUCAGGGUCGGGGUCUCAGCGGCAGCUCUUCCAGAGACGGGUGUCCUGUGUAGAUGCUGUUUAAAGCGGGGAGGCUGGUGCCGGUUACCAUGCAAACAAGUAGAGGAAGAGCCGCCAUGAGAUUGGGUCCUGGGUCGUGUCGGUGUUGACUCUCCGGAGCUGAGAGGAGCUGGCAGUGGAGGCAGAGGAAGGGCGACCAAGGCAGGGGAGGGAAGCCGUACAGACCCCCCAGGUGAGGAGGAAGGGGUCAGCCGUGUUGAAUGCCACUGACAGGUCAAGUCGAGGAAGGCCGGGAAUUGAGGAGGGGGCUCGGGAAGGUGGAGGGCGCUGAGGUUGUGACGAGAGCUUUCUGAGCAGGGAGGGGAAAGCCGGAGUGAGCAGAGAGGGGAAUGAGGGGAACUGGAAAUACCAGGUCUAGACUGUGCCUUUUUGAUGGAAUUUAAUGUAUAUAUACCUUUUUUACCUCACUGAAGAAUUUCUUUAAAGUUGCCUUCCCUCUCGUGUAACUGCCUUCCACAGGUCAUGAACUACGUCAGAAGAGAGCUGAGGAGUAAGGAAACACUGAAGUGUUAGAACCAGUGUUAGACCCAGCGUGCUUUGAGACAGUUGUGCGUGGAAAAUGAAGCCUGUCCUCUGAUGGUUAGAAUUAGCGUCCUGGGGAGAGAGUACCUCUAAGACCAUGGCUCAUGCUUCUUUUCGAAGAUUGAUUAUGUGAAGUCUGUAGGAUGCUUCAAUUAUACCAAAUGAAAUACAUGAAAUUAAAGUUCUAUAAUAGCGAGGAUCCAUAUCACUGUUCUACAAAUGUGUCACGGUUUGUAAGUGUUCAUACCCUUCUGAGGAAGGACUGCGAGGACUCCUUUACUUGGUCGUAGGUGGCCCCCAGCGUGAGCUCUUUUAUAAUUUCAGCCGAAGUGUUUAAGUCAGAAUUUAAAUCUAGCAUUUCUAUUUUAGUUGGUUUAGUAAAACUUCCUGCUUAUUUCACUUACAGAAAUGAAAUAUCAUUUACAGAAAGCAAAGUGUAGGAAAGAAGACCCUAAGACAAAAUCCAGAUCUGAAAGUACCAUAUUUCCAGUAGAAAAUUGAUGUAAGAAGUUACACGUUAUCCAGAAAACUACAGGUGCUAUAGGUAUUCUCUUGUUUCUGAGCUCUCUGUGAACUCUAGAAACUGCGUAUGACAUUAAAAACCAAAAUAGCUCCAUGUUUAAGUGGCCCAAAGAGGAGACUAUGAACGGAACUGAGCAGGUGUCUUAUCCCAUUCUCUCGGCCUCUCGGAGCAUUUCAUGUUGGUAAUUUCUUGGUACCAGGUCCCCGCUGUCACCCCCUACCUCCCACGUUGGAGGCAGGCAUGGAGCUUUCUUUGGCACUGAAGGCUUUGUUGUGAACUCUCUUUCUAAGGUGACUGAGGAAAAUUUUCAUGCAGCAACUCAGGGCAAAUACUAUCCAAACGUUAAGCAGAAACUUGGUGAAAAUAUAAGGAAAGAUUUUAAAGAGAAGUAGAAAAGUAGUGAAUAUUUAACCAGCUCCAUUAGUUUCUAGAAUAAUUUUUUUAAAUGAUACAGGGGAAAUACAGGGUUUCCACUGAAGGAGUGGGGGCUCGACUAUUAGUGCCACAGAUUUCCUCACACAGCGUGUCUCUGCCUUCCAGCUUCUUGACCGUUGACUGUUAAAAGCUGUUGUCGAUAAUUUCUCACAAUACAUUGAGACAGUCCCUCUUGUAACAAAUAAAUCUUUUAAAAAUAUUACAUAUAAACUUUAAAUGAAAAAAAAAAACACAACUCUUCAGAGGACAAAAAACCACCUAUAAAAAAUAUACCUUUUUGGAUUUUUUUUUCAUGGCCUGUUUGAUGUGAAAAGCCUGACUGAAAAUCUGUUUUGACAGAAUUUCCAUGUUUCAGUCAAUUGUCAGGUGACUGGUACGUGAGAUUUUCUGUUUUUGUUUUAAAUAUUCUUUGGUUCUUCUCAGUUUCUAAGGAAAUAUUUUACUGUGCUAAGAAUCAGGAAGCACUCUGUCUUACCAGAUGAGCCUCAGGCAUUAUGUUUCUCUAAGAAAUGUUCUCCGUGUGUGUUUAAAUAACAUAUAGUUAUUUCCCCAAAGCUGGAGAAAAGUAUUUCUGUGCAGUGAGGAUUAUGUGACUUCCGCACACGGACAGCUGAGUCUAUUUGUGCUGUGUGGAAAUUCUAUUUUAACUGUAAAUACGCAGGGGGUGUAAUAAAUGUUGGGGAGGGUUAUAAUAAAUGGCUGCUGUCAGUAGGAAUGAAAUAAAAAGGUUGGAGCAAGAUAGGGUCAGGGGAUGUGCAUAUAUAAUUGAAUAAAAUAUGUGCCACUGGAACUGGAGUCUGAUCAACAUUUUUUACCCUGAAGAUGAUCUUCCCAUCGAAAAGGAAAUCUCUGGGGGAAAUGACCAGGCCCAGCCACAGAAACAAACCAGAAAACAGUGCCGUGGAUAACACCCACUGUCCUUUUGUUACAGAUGUAACUGUACUUGUUUGUAAUUCUAUGUUAAGUGGCCGAACUUCAGUUUUUACCUGUUAUAAAUAAAGAGAACCUGAUAUUUUUACUUUUCAUCUUGCGCGUCAGAACUUUUUAGAGCCAGUGAAAGAAGGAUCGCCUCUGUGUGUAUUUGCAGUGGUAAUGCUGGUCUGUCCAGCCCCCAAAAAUGCAGCUUCUAAUAAAACAAAAUUCUCAUGUUACUUUAAAAUAACACGGGGGCGCCUGGCUGGCUUAGUCGGAGGAGCGUGAGAC
Molecule: RNA transcript, 5812 nt
Organism: Ailuropoda melanoleuca (giant panda)
Lineage: Eukaryota; Metazoa; Chordata; Mammalia; Carnivora; Ursidae
Gene: SLC35E3
Gene name: solute carrier family 35 member E3
Exons: 5
Source: RefSeq, a predicted model, not a curated record